This 66-nucleotide transfer RNA is filed under the name Sarophorus sp. SAR01. RNAcentral describes it as "tRNA-Trp". Lineage: Eukaryota; Metazoa; Arthropoda; Insecta; Coleoptera; Scarabaeidae. The record is from RNAcentral.
AAGGAUUUAAGUUAAAAACAAACUGACAGCCUUCAAAGCUGCUAAUAGAAAGGUUUCUAAGCCUUA